UGGACAGAUUAUUGUAUUCGACGGUAUUCGACCGUAUUCACGGUGUGAAAAAGGGGAUUACACUAUUUUUAAACGGAAAGUGAAUCAAUUAACAUAAUAGACCCCU
Molecule: microRNA precursor, 106 nt
Organism: Nicotiana attenuata
Lineage: Eukaryota; Viridiplantae; Streptophyta; Magnoliopsida; Solanales; Solanaceae
Rfam family: MIR6152 microRNA precursor family
Source: Rfam